UGAGGAAUAUUGGUCAAUGGACGAGAGUCUGAACCAGCCAAGUAGCGUGAAGGAUGACUGCCCUAUGGGUUGUAAACUUCUUUUAUAUGGGAAUAAAGUUCAGUAUGUAUACUGUUUUGUAUGUACCAUAUGAAUAAGGAUCGGCUAACUCCGUGCCAGCAGCCGCGGUAAUACGGAGGAUCCGAGCGUUAUCCGGAUUUAUUGGGUUUAAAGGGAGCGUAGGCGGACGCUUAAGUCAGUUGUGAAAGUUUGCGGCUCAACCGUAAAAUUGCAGUUGAUACUGGGUGUCUUGAGUGCAGCAGAGGUAGGCGGAAUUCGUGGUGUAGCGGUGAAAUGCUUAGAUAUCACGAAGAACUCCGAUUGCGAAGGCAGCUUACUGGACUGUAACUGACGCUGAUGCUCGAAAGUGUGGGUAUCAAACAGG
Molecule: ribosomal RNA, 424 nt
Filed under: uncultured bacterium
Lineage: Bacteria
Also listed under: 1 other name
Description: bacterial SSU rRNA
Rfam family: Bacterial small subunit ribosomal RNA
Source: RNAcentral